RNAcentral lists this long non-coding RNA (241 nucleotides) under Elaeis guineensis (African oil palm). RNAcentral's name for it is "long non-coding RNA (EGUI_LNC070610)". The record is from RNAcentral. Lineage: Eukaryota; Viridiplantae; Streptophyta; Magnoliopsida; Arecales; Arecaceae.
AUUCAAUCAAGCCCAAACUAAAUCUAAUUAAAUCAUAUUCAAUUAGACUUAAUCUCAACCUAUUGGUUUAAUCAAAUUAAGUCAAUUAGCAAUUGAAUUGCUAAUCAAUCUUGCUGCAACAUUUGCACUAGGUUAAAUGUCAAUCAUAUUGAUCAUUUAACCCUAGAAUGAUUCUUAACAUUGAUCAACCAUCCGAUCGGAUCGUGAACUCGAAUGUGUGAGAUCUCAUAGGUCUGAACCU